This 1678-nucleotide long non-coding RNA is filed under the name Oryza sativa Indica Group (long-grained rice). Its description in RNAcentral is "lncRNA OsMH63_04G006160". Lineage: Eukaryota; Viridiplantae; Streptophyta; Magnoliopsida; Poales; Poaceae. The record is from RNAcentral.
GUCAUUCUUUGAAUUAUGGGAGCUCUCAGUUCAUGCAAAUGCCAUUACAUUGUACAGAAAAAAGGAUGGCACAGAGGCAGAAUCAAAUGAAGACUAUGGGAUGUUAUUCAGAUUAUCACAGGAGGGAGGCAUCACCUAUACAAAUUUAAUCCAGCAAGUCUCUGUCUCACCUAAUGCAAAUCUUGCUGGUGCUGAGGUGGUAGGUGGUCUUCCUCUGCUCCAAAACACUUAUGGCAGUUUCAUGCAGCUAUUGCAAGCUCCUAUUGAAUCAGAGAGUGCUCUAUAUUUGACAUCCAAUAGAUUUGAGUAUGACAACACCUUUUGGGGUUUUGAUCCUCACAAUGGUUAUCAACAAAAUGACCUGCAAAAUGCACAAACAGACACCUCUCAGAUGUGCAACUCUUUGCCACAAAGUGUAGCUGUGCAUCCUCCUGUGGCAUCACUGGACAUGCUAUAUGAUGAAAUGCAGAAAUCAAGCGCUGAUGUUGAUAAUCAAGCUGAGAUGUGCAGGCCAACAGUACAAUUGAAAGCAUCAUCUGUAGAAGUGAUUUAUAAUGAAAUGCAGACUCAAACUAUUGAGGCUGAUGCCUGUUUUGACCAGCACUUUGAGCAAGCAACAGAAGAGGAUUUAUUGUCUGAUCAUGCAAUAGUUACAUUUCAGCAAGUUGAGGAAAUAGAACAAGAUAAAAGUGCAGAAAAUCCAGAUCAAAAUUUUAGUGAGGAAGAUAUAAACAUAUUUCUGGAGAAUGAAAGUGUAGCUGUUGUUCAGAGAGGUGGUCAGGAUGCUAACAGUGCACAUGUGCCGUCAAUCAACAAAGUUUUUGCUGAUGAGAAUGAAGCUUUUGACUUCUACAAUGGUUAUGCUUAUAUGGUUGGUUUCUCUACAUGCAAAGCUAGCAAUUACCAUAGCAGAAAAACCGAUGUUGUGACAAGGCACACGUUCAAAUGCAACAGGUUGAGGAAACCAAGUGAUCCAAAGGAGAAGGACCUGCCUGAGGUUGAUGAAGUUGAGAAUUGUUUGCAAACAAACACAACAAAUCCAUUGCACAGUAUGAAAGGAUUGCAGAAAACAAUUUAUGAGUGCUUCAAAGAACAGGAAUCGCUGACUAGGAAUACUGUUCCAGAUACUUGGUCAGAAUAUCAAUUUGAGAAGCAAGCUGCAAAACUGUAUACUAGGAAGAUAUUUUGGGCAUUUCAGCAUAUCUUGCAAAGCUAUACCAAGUAUGAUGUGACCGUGAAAGUGCGUGAUUCUAUUUUUGAGGUGUACAAAUCAGAGAUUCAUGCACUACAGGAUUUCAGAAAAAGGAAGUAUAUUGUGGUUGUUGAUACUAUAUCUGAAGAAUAUGAAUGUAUCUGUUCAAGAUUUAAGAAGGAUGAAAAGUUUAUAUAUGUGAUGAAUGAAAGUGACAAGAUUGAAGAUGGGUUGAAGGCAAUGAGUGAUACGGCUCCUAACGAGGCUACUGUUCAUGUUCAGGAUGCGGCGGCGACAACUUGUGGUGUAGCUUCUGUUGGUGCUCAAAGUGGAAUAUUGAUGGGUCCUAGUGGUGUUGGUAUUGAUGCUGAGAGCACAAAGGGUGCGGUUGCUGAAACUGAAACAACAGAUAUGGUUGGAAUUGCUUCUACUUCUGUUUUACUGGAUCCAAAAUGCUCUAAUAGCAAAGGCAUAACUGAUUAUUAA